UCCUAUACAAAAGACCCAUACAAAUCCCAUCCUACUCUUUCUAUUCCAAAUUCCUCCUAUCAGUAAAGAUACCUAGAUACCCAACGUUAAUAUCAACUUUCAAACGACAACAUAACCCAUCAACGUCAAAUUCCAAGAUGCGUGAACACGAAAAUCAGAAAAUGAAGCGAUGUGGAACGUGAAAUGACAACAAUAGCACAUGGCAAGUCACGACGAAAUACGCAGCAGGUUCACACCUUAGUCGCGUGAAUCAGACUGUACACUGUGAACUCAUUGUCUUCUUCCUCCAUUCCCUCUUAAUAGUACUGUCGCAGUAGAGUAACAAGAGCACACAAAAUCAUCCUAAUAGAGUGAGAUGAUGCCACGUUGCACCCAAGGACAAUAGAAUUGAUCCGGAGCGUCGAUUCGCCUUUCCUCUUCCCGAAUGGGUUGAAAUUUCAGCAAAAGGAUGUCUCCCCUGAAUGGUGAAAAUAAUUUCAAGUUUGAAAUCGAAAUGGGACUCGUUCCUAUCCGUUUUUCAUCCCAUUUCCCCCAUUUCUGAACCCUAAUUAUCCUUCUAUAUAUAGUUGCUUAUUAUUCACUAUGGAGGUUGAAAAAAAUUGAGAAAUCUGACUAAGGCAUAAAGAAUAACACACCAAUAAUAGUUAUAAGAUAUAGGAAAUACAUUCGAAAGAGAGCAAGAUGAGUUAGUUUCUGUUCGAGUCUCACUCUUCUUGCUUGAUCACCAUCGUUCUUCUAAGCUAGUUCGAUUUUGCAUUUGCUGCUUAAACCUCUCAUUCGUUGUUGGUUCGUGUUUGUGUGGAAGUAUUCAUUUCUCUACUUGUCUCGUCCCCGUUCACUGCCUGAAAGUUGCGGCUCCUCCCGAGACCUAGGAGACUCCUUUUCCUUGCAUUCCGUUGAUUAGCAUUAGAGGCCUGAUUCUAUUUUUUAUCGAGUAAAUCGUGUCUUGAAAUGAUGAACAGGGAUGGAGACUGAUACAUAGGCUAAAACAUUUAAUUUUAGGUGUCUGGAAAGCCCAAAGAAGGGGUUGUAUACACUGAUAUAUCCGCUGUAUACAUUGGUGUACAGUCAAAAAUACAAUAUACAGGCCCAAUGUUGAAGUACAAGGUGAAUUAAUGCAGAAAA
Solanum pennellii is the source of this 1125-nucleotide long non-coding RNA. RefSeq lists it as uncharacterized. NCBI's taxonomy places the organism in Eukaryota, Viridiplantae, Streptophyta, Magnoliopsida, Solanales, Solanaceae. The transcript has 2 exons. The record is from RefSeq and is a predicted model, not a curated record.